UAAUACUCAGUGUUGUUUGCAAGAAAAAAAAUCUCAAAAAGAAAAACCCCUAUAUUUUCAUAAGUAUUUCGUGUCCCACGUCUCCUUUGGUCACGUGCUUCUGUAUAUAGCUGACGGAUCGAUCUUAUGAACGGUUGCUUCAAAUGCUGACCGUCGUCGGAGAACUCGACCGUGCAACUCUCCACCAAGGCCAAGGUCUCUAGGAUCGAGUACAGGACAGCCCUGUUGUUGU
This 232-nucleotide long non-coding RNA is filed under the name Brachypodium distachyon (stiff brome). RNAcentral describes it as "long non-coding RNA (BDIS_LNC003117)". Lineage: Eukaryota; Viridiplantae; Streptophyta; Magnoliopsida; Poales; Poaceae. The record is from RNAcentral.